This 299-nucleotide signal recognition particle RNA is filed under the name Saimiri boliviensis boliviensis (Bolivian squirrel monkey). Its description in RNAcentral is "Metazoan signal recognition particle RNA (ENSSBOG00000006140.1)". It matches the Rfam family "Metazoan signal recognition particle RNA". Rfam says of the family: The signal recognition particle (SRP) is a universally conserved ribonucleoprotein. It is involved in the co-translational targeting of proteins to membranes. The record is from RNAcentral. Lineage: Eukaryota; Metazoa; Chordata; Mammalia; Primates; Cebidae.
GCUGGGCAUGGUGGCACGUGCCUGUAGUCCCAGCUACUUGGGAGGCUGAGGUGGGAGGAUCGCUUGAACCCAGGAUUUCUGGGUUGUAAUGCGCUAUGCCAAUCCGGUGUCCGCACGAAGUUUGGCAUCAAUUUGGUGACCUCCCGGGAGCUGGGGACCUCCAGGUUGCCUAAGGAGGGGUGAACCGGCCCAGGUCGGAAACAGAGCAGGUCAAAACUCCCUUGCUGAUUGGUGGUGAGAUCAGGCCUGUGAAGAGCCACUGCACUCCAGCCUGGGCAACAUAGUGAGACCCCACCUCU